AGGUUCCAGAAAAUCGGCUAUACAUUUUAAUAUUUAACUCUAUUUGUUGUUAUAUCUUCUUUUUUGUUUUUUCUUUUAUUCUAUUUUUGUAAAAUGUUUUAGUUUUUUGUUAUGUUUUGAAGAUAUAUAAAAUUUGUUGUUUGAACUGGAUUAGUACCCAGGUAAUCAAAGUUUAUUAAUUCGGGAGUAAAGUUUAAUUUAAACCGAAAAAAUAUUGACUGACUUUGGAUUUUUCUUUGGAACAUGUGAUUUUUGGAUAGUCCUCCUUGUUAGUUGAUUUUGUUGGCUCAUGUAUGAUUGUUUAGUUUUUAUUUUGUUUGUGAUGCUAUUAUGAUUUUUAUUUUAAAACAGAUAUAUAUUUGGCUUAUGGGUCGAUGUUUCAUGUGUUACUAUUAUUAAUUUUUUUUGGAUUUUUUAUUAAAGGUUUUUUUGAAAUUGGAAAAGAAAGUAAUUGGGGUUUUUAUGUUUGGAUGAAUUUAAUAAACAAAGUGGUACAAACUCAU
Molecule: ribosomal RNA, 503 nt
Filed under: Litomosoides scotti
Lineage: Eukaryota; Metazoa; Nematoda; Chromadorea; Rhabditida; Onchocercidae
Description: partial small subunit ribosomal RNA
Source: RNAcentral